GACGAACGCUGGCGGCGUGCUUAACACAUGCAAGUCGAGCGGUAAGGCCCUUUCGGGGGUACACGAGCGGCGAACGGGUGAGUAACACGUGGGUGACCUGCCCUCAGCUCUGGGAUAAGCCUGGGAAACCGGGUCUAAUACCGGAUAUGACUCCAUGACGCAUGUUGUGGGGUGGAAAGCCUUGUGCGGCUGAGGAUGGGCCCGCGGCCUAUCAGCUUGUUGGUGGGGUGAUGGCCCACCAAGGCGACGACGGGUAGCCGGCCUGAGAGGGCGACCGGCCACACUGGGACUGAGACACGGCCCAGACUCCUACGGGAGGCAGCAGUGGGGAAUCUUGCGCAAUGGGCGAAAGCCUGACGCAGCGACGCCGCGUGAGGGAUGACGGCCU
This 388-nucleotide ribosomal RNA is filed under the name uncultured bacterium. RNAcentral describes it as "bacterial SSU rRNA". It matches the Rfam family "Bacterial small subunit ribosomal RNA", at positions 28 to 417 of the family's 1533-position model. The record is from RNAcentral.